Equus caballus (horse) is the source of this 1111-nucleotide long non-coding RNA. Lineage: Eukaryota; Metazoa; Chordata; Mammalia; Perissodactyla; Equidae. The record is from Ensembl.
GUGAGGACAAUACAGAGCUCCCUGCUGGCUGGGGACCCUGGCUCAGGCGGGGAAGGCAGCCAUUAGAAGGCCUGGGGGAGCCAAAGCGGAGGGACUCGUCCCAGGCUCGGGGGGGGGGGGGGGGGGGCGGCUGCUUCUGCCCAGGGUCUGGAGAGUUCUGGAAGCUCCGGGAACGGGCCCCGCUUUGAGCUGUUCUGCAGCAGCGAAGAAGCAGGAAGAGGAAGAAAAAGUCAGCGUCCGUUAAGAUUGAGUAGAGCCAUUUUCAAGUGGACCUCCUGGAAGCACUUUGAAGAGAAGUCACUGACCCUUCCAGCCAGCCUGGAUGCUGUCCCUGACAUGCACACCCGUAGGUGGCUAGGCUGUAGGAUGCUGUGAGAGUGGGCACCGAGCAGCCACUUUGACAUCAAGGAGAGAUGUUCCUUGCGUGAAAAAUUUACCCAAGGCAGAUGCAACGGUAUCCUAGUGCUGAAUUCAACCGAGAUUCUAGAAGGAGGCAGGCAACGAAAUUCUGCACGGAUGACCAGCCACGGGAGCAGACGGAAAUUCUGAACCUGGAGCGCGGUCCGCGGGCUGCGGGACCCCGGGGUUCUAAGAUGCUGCUCCGCAAGAGUGACAGCGCCCAGUCGCGUCUCCAGCCAAUCGACACAUUGCUCACGCCCCUGCCUUCGCCAAUGAAAAGUCAGUCUACGCCCAUUAUGCAAAUGAACUAGCCCUCUGGUGCUGAUGGGGGAUAAAGACUACCGAAAUGCUAGCAGUGGCCCCUAUGAAUCGUGGGCUUCUGAUGAGUCCUUUAAAUGCUCGCCACCCCCCGCCCCAUGGUGCCCGUACUCCUGCUUGCAUUAACUGACUAUCCUAGAGUACAGAUUAAAAGUAAUGAACAAGAUAUGUCACAUUGUCUAUCUGAAGAGUUGUGAAACAGAUCAGAGGUCACUUAGUCAUUUAAGGAAAAGCGUUAGAUUUGCAAAGCCUGUGGCUUUAGAAGCAGCCUUGGGAAUUGGGGAUGCGCCCCCCCCCCCCCCCCCCAGCCCAAGGAAGGUACAUAAGCAGGGGGCGUGAUCUAAAGAAAAUUCCAUCAGGACCUGGGACGAUGACUUUGCACCAGACUUCACGC